GAUGAACGCUGGCGGCGUGCCUAAUACAUGCAAGUCGAGCGAACAGACGAGGAGCUUGCUCCUCUGACGUUAGCGGCGGACGGGUGAGUAACACGUGGAUAACCUACCUAUAAGACUGGGAUAACUUCGGGAAACCGGAGCUAAUACCGGAUAAUAUAUUGAACCGCAUGGUUCAAUAGUGAAAGACGGUUUUGCUGUCACUUAUAGAUGGAUCCGCGCCGCAUUAGCUAGUUGGUAAGGUAACGGCUUACCAAGGCAACGAUGCGUAGCCGACCUGAGAGGGUGAUCGGCCACACUGGAACUGAGACACGGUCCAGACUCCUACGGGAGGCAGCAGUAGGGAAUCUUCCGCAAUGGGCGAAAGCUUGACGGAGCAACGCCGCGUGAGUGAUGAAGGUCUUCGGAUCGUAAAACUCUGUUAUUAGGGAAGAACAAAUGUGUAAGUAACUAUGCACGUCGUGACGGUACCUAAUCAGAAGGCCACGGCUAACUACG
RNAcentral lists this ribosomal RNA (495 nucleotides) under uncultured bacterium. Its description in RNAcentral is "partial 16S ribosomal RNA". It matches the Rfam family "Bacterial small subunit ribosomal RNA", at positions 28 to 505 of the family's 1533-position model. The record is from RNAcentral.